CCUGAAGGCACCCCCGAUAAGAUUAUGUUGGGAUUGAGCAGGACCAGAAGUGGACGGGACGACUAGCAUGGCAUCGACUCUGUCACUGACUCAAGCUCUUCUCUUCACCAAUGCGUCUAAUCUUCUACGCAGAAACUGCCUCAGAACCUUUGUCUUCUCUGCAUCUUUCUCCUCCUCCUCAGCUCUUUCCUCCGACAACGUUCACCGGAAGAAAUGGAGACAGCCGGUCUCUUCACUUCUUGAGCUCGGCGGAAUCGCAAUUGCCAAAGAUGAUGUUGUGAGGGAUGAUCCUACAAACAAUGUCCCAGAUAAUAUUUUCUCAAAACUUGGUAUGCAACUCCACCGAAGAGAUAACCAUCCACUUGGCAUUCUGAAGAAUGAGAUAUACAAAUAUUUUGAUAUCAAUUACUCAAAUAAGUUCAAUAAGUUUGAUGACCUCAGUCCAAUCGUUUCUGUGAAGGAGAAUUUUGAUGAUGUAUUGGUUCCAGAAGAUCAUGUAAGCCGAAGUUAUAAUGAUACAUACUACAUUGACUCGCAAACUGUUCUGAGAUGUCAUACAAGUGCUCAUCAAGCGGAGCUGUUGAGAAGAGGAUAUACUCAGUUUCUUGUGACAGGAGACGUUUACCGUCGGGAUUCCAUUGAUUCAACUCAUUACCCUGUAUUUCAUCAGAUGGAAGCUGUCCGUGUUUUUUCUCUAAAUGAUUGGGAGGCAUCUGGCACAGAUGGAACUUCUUAUGCUGCUGAUGACUUGAAGAAAUGCUUGGAAGGUUUGGCAAGGCAUUUAUUUGGUGCUGUGGAAAUGCGCUGGGUUGAUGCAUAUUUCCCAUUUACAAACCCAUCAUUCGAACUCGAGAUUUUCUUUCAGGAGAAAUGGCUGGAAGUAUUGGGAUGUGGGGUGAUGGAGCAAGAAAUAUUGCAAAAAUGUGGCAAAGAGAAUCAUGUUGCAUGGGCUUUUGGUCUUGGAUUGGAAAGGCUAGCCAUGGUUCUUUUUGAUAUACCUGAUGUCCGAUUAUUUUGGUCAGCCGAUGAGCGAUUUACCUCGCAGUUCUCAAAGGGCAAGCUAGGUGUUAAAUUUAAACCAUUUUCUAAGUUUCCACCUUGCUACAAGGAUAUUAGUUUUUGGAUCAAUGAUUCUUUCACCGAGAAUAAUUUGUGUGAAGUCGUGAGAGGAAUUGCCGGGGACCUUGUUGAAGAGGUGCAACUGAUAGACAGUUUUACCAACGAGAAGAAAGGGAUGACAAGUCACUGUUACAGGAUUGCUUACCGAUCUAUGGAACGGUCACUCACAGAUGAAGAAAUCAAUGAUUUGCAGAGGAACGUGAGAGAACAGGUUCAGAGCAGGUUGAAUGUUGUCUUAAGAUGAACAUAAAAAGUGCAACAAUUUCAGUCAAAGCCAUAUUUGCAAGGGAGACUUCAUUUGGUCUAAAAUAUGACAAAGGAAUAAGAAUUCAAACUUCUUGUGUGCUUUGAACCUCAAUUAGCAUCUCUCACAGAGGAGAAUUUUCUUGGCAGCCGAACAAAUAGAAGCUGAGGGAAGAUGGAGUCUGGAUCGAAGUUGUAGAAAAUAAGUCUGAUGCCAAAAUUGAUUCGAACUUCGAAGCCAUUAAUUUUCACAAAAAUCAGCUUCCACCAUUAGAAAAUCAUUCAACUUUGACAUGCUCAGAAUCUCUCUUUAUAACUGAUGGGCAAAGGAAGAAGGCAAACAGCAUUGGAAUAAGCUUUGUCUUUUUCUUCUUUUUCCAUAUGGAAUGAAAAUUCAAAUUUACAAUUCUUUGGAAAAGAGUGGAAAUGGUUUUAUCCUUGAGAUCACAAUUCUAUUAAUAAACAAUUUAAUUUUUAUCAGAAAUAGGUUUGCAAAAUAUAUCUAAACUUCGGGUAGAUUUCAAUUAUGCCCUUAAUUUAGUUUUGAAGAGUUUCAUUUGAG
Non-coding RNA from Benincasa hispida (wax gourd), 1924 nucleotides. The record is from RefSeq and is a predicted model, not a curated record. Lineage: Eukaryota; Viridiplantae; Streptophyta; Magnoliopsida; Cucurbitales; Cucurbitaceae.